Molecule: ribosomal RNA, 422 nt
Filed under: uncultured archaeon
Lineage: Archaea
Description: bacterial SSU rRNA
Rfam family: Archaeal small subunit ribosomal RNA
Source: RNAcentral
UCAGCCGCCGCGGUAAAACCAGCACCUCGAGCGGUCAGGAGGUUUAUUGGGCCUAAAGCAUCCGUAGCCGGUUGUUUAAGUUUUCGGUUAAAUCUAUGCGCUUAACGUAUAGGCUGCCGAAAAUACUGGACAGCUAGGGAGUGGGAGAGGUACACGGUACUCAAUAGGAAGGGGUAAAAUCCUUUGAUCUGUUGAUGACCACCUGUGGCGAAGGCGGUGUACCAGAACACGUUCGACGGUGAGGGAUGAAAGCUGGGGGAGCAAACCGGAUUAGAUACCCGGGUAGUCUCAGCUGUAAACGAUGCAAACUCGGUGAUGCAUUGGCUUGUGGCCAAUGCAGUGCCGCAGGGAAGCCGUUAAGUUUGCCGCCUGGGAAGUACGUACGCAAGUAUGAAACUUAAAGGAAUUGGCGGGGGAGCACA